UACGAAGGGGGCUAGCGUUGCUCGGAAUCACUGGGCGUAAAGCGCGCGCAGGCGGCGAUCUACGUCUGGGGUGAAAGCCCGGAGCUCAACUCCGGGACUGCCUUGGAUACGGGAUCGCUUGAGAAUUGGAGAGGCAAGGGGAAUUCCACGUGUAGCGGUGAAAUGCGUAGAUAUGUGGAGGAACACCUGUGGCGAAGGCGCCUUGCUGGCCAAUUUCUGACGCUGAGGCGCGAAAGCGUGGGGAGCAAACAGG
RNAcentral lists this ribosomal RNA (253 nucleotides) under uncultured bacterium. Its description in RNAcentral is "partial 16S ribosomal RNA". It matches the Rfam family "Bacterial small subunit ribosomal RNA", at positions 524 to 776 of the family's 1533-position model. The record is from RNAcentral.